UACAAGGCACUGCAGCAUAUUUAUACUUCCCUUCUUGCUGACACUCCUGUCCCUCCCUCCCACCUGACACAUGGAACACGUGGGAAAGGCAGCGCCAAGGAACCAUCUGACAAACGGAUUUCACCCAAACCAAAGUGACCCUCACAGAUGUGAGGCUGCAUCCCAGGCUAGUCAGCAUGGCCUGGUAACUGAGAUCGGGAAGAGAAUUCUCCACAUUCUGUUCGUACAACGACCUUGGAUAACUUGGCUCUGUUCUUGUGGGAUUUGGAGCUCUGCUCCCGGAUGGAUGUGAGAUGAGACAGCAAUACAGAAACCCACCAGCCCGAAGGAGAAGGCUGGACAGUGCAGACCGAGGUUUAAACCAAGCCCCAAGUCUUCAGUUCACCUCUGGCAUACUGGGACACUCAAGUCAUUAACAGAAUUCAUCUGGUAGGAGAAAUUGGGAAGGACCAGAAGUAUUUCAGUCCUGCAGCAAAUGGUUUACAAACAGAUGCCUUUAAAGAAAGUCAGGAUACCCAGAGAGACAAGCACAUAUUUCAGAAUCGUGUCUCAGCGCUGCCCUGAUCUGUCACCCACCAGACAUCACCCUGUAAAUCUCCCCAAGCAAUCUUGUUACAG
Molecule: long non-coding RNA, 618 nt
Organism: Lepidothrix coronata (blue-crowned manakin)
Lineage: Eukaryota; Metazoa; Chordata; Aves; Passeriformes; Pipridae
Exons: 4
Source: RefSeq, a predicted model, not a curated record